AGUGAACGCUGGCGGUAGGCCUAACACAUGCAAGUCGAACGGCAGCACAGGAGAGCUUGCUCUCUGGGUGGCGAGUGGCGGACGGGUGAGGAAUACAUCGGAAUCUACUCUGUCGUGGGGGAUAACGUAGGGAAACUUACGCUAAUACCGCAUACGACCUACGGGUGAAAGCAGGGGAUCUUCGGACCUUGCGCGAUUGAAUGAGCCGAUGUCGGAUUAGCUAGUUGGCGGGGUAAAGGCCCACCAAGGCGACGAUCCGUAGCCGGUCUGAGAGGAUGAUCAGCCACACUGGAACUGAGACACGGUCCAGACUCCUACGGGAGGCAGCAGUGGGGAAUAUUGGACAAUGGGCGCAAGCCUGAUCCAGCCAUACUGCGUGGGUGAAGGAGGCCUUCGGGUUGUAAAGCCCUUUUGUUGGGAAAGAAAUCCAGCUGGCUAAUACCCGGUUGGGAUGACGGUACCCAAAGAAUAAGCACCGGCUAACUUCGUGCCAGCCGCCGCGGUAA
This 506-nucleotide ribosomal RNA is filed under the name uncultured bacterium. RNAcentral's name for it is "partial 16S ribosomal RNA". It matches the Rfam family "Bacterial small subunit ribosomal RNA", at positions 29 to 523 of the family's 1533-position model. The record is from RNAcentral.